UUUCAGAGUCCGAGUUGUAAUUUGAAGAAGGUAUCUUUGGGUCUGGCUCUUGUCUAUGUUUCUUGGAACAGAACGUCACAGAGGGUGAGAAUCCCGUGCGAUGAGAUGAUCCAGGCCUAUGUAAAGUUCCUUCGAAGAGUCGAGUUGUUUGGGAAUGCAGCUCUAAGUGGGUGGUAAAUUCCAUCUAAAGCUAAAUAUUGGCGAGAGACCGAUAGCGAACAAGUACAGUGAUGGAAAGAUGAAAAGAACUUUGAAAAGAGAGUGAAAAAGUACGUGAAAUUGUUGAAAGGGAAGGGCUUGAGAUCAGACUUGGUAUUUUGUAUGUUACUUCUUCGGGGGUGGCCUCUACAGUUUAUCGGGCCAGCAUCAGUUUGGGCGGUAGGAGAAUUGCGUUGGAAUGUGGCACGGCCUCGGUUGUGUGUUAUAGCCUUCGUCGAUACUGCCAGCCUAGACUGAGGACUGCGGUUUAUACCUAGGAUG
This 480-nucleotide ribosomal RNA is filed under the name Candida tropicalis. RNAcentral describes it as "eukaryotic LSU rRNA". It matches the Rfam family "Eukaryotic large subunit ribosomal RNA", at positions 129 to 625 of the family's 3401-position model. The record is from RNAcentral. Lineage: Eukaryota; Fungi; Ascomycota; Pichiomycetes; Serinales; Debaryomycetaceae.